AGGAAAGGUUUUGUCUCGGGGAGGGUAGGCUUCUCCUAAAAAGAGAAUUCUGGAAGUCAACAUAAUUAAACAAAGAGGAAAAUGUGCCAGACAGGAGUGGGUGGGGGCUGUUUUCUCUUCGUGGUUGGUUGUGGUGCGCGUUCAAGAUUCCUCGCCUAAGAUGAGGUUCCUGAGCUUCCAGUAGGCGACUGACUGCCCGAUAGACCCAGGGCUCCGCGAGGAGAUGGCGCAGGUGUCGAGGCUCCCGGCAGGCCAGGAAAAAGUGUCCGAACGCCUCGCGGACUGCAGCGGGGGAAAUGUCCCUUAAAAGUGCGACGAAGUGGGGAAGAAGGUGAGUGGGGACUGUUGUCCUGUUUACCUCUCUCCCCUCAACUCGCCCCGCUCCCCG
Molecule: long non-coding RNA, 388 nt
Filed under: Rhinopithecus bieti (black snub-nosed monkey)
Lineage: Eukaryota; Metazoa; Chordata; Mammalia; Primates; Cercopithecidae
Description: lncRNA (ENSRBIG00000045445.1)
Source: RNAcentral